GCGGACCCACGGGGCCGCAUCACGACAACCGGACCUUUUGGUCCAGAGCACACGGAAGACAGAAA
The submitters of this non-coding RNA (65 nucleotides) gave its source as unclassified sequences. The record is from Rfam.